UGGGGGACCUUCGGGCCUCACGUUAUCGGAUGAGCCUACGUAGGAUUAGCUAGUUGGUAGGGUAAAGGCCUACCAAGGCGACGAUCCUUAGCUGGUCUGAGAGGAUGAUCAGCCACACUGGGACUGAGACACGGCCCCAGACUCCUACGGGAGGCAGCAGUGGGGAAUAUUGCGCAAUGGGCGGAAGCCUGACGCAGCCAUGCCGCGUGUGUGAAGAAGGCCUUCGGGUUGUAAAGCACUUUCAAUUGGGAAGAAAAGUUUGUCGUUAAUAGCGACAAGCCCUGACAUUACCUUUAGAAGAAGCACCGGCUAACUCCGUG
This 320-nucleotide ribosomal RNA is filed under the name uncultured bacterium. Its description in RNAcentral is "bacterial SSU rRNA". It matches the Rfam family "Bacterial small subunit ribosomal RNA", at positions 207 to 507 of the family's 1533-position model. The record is from RNAcentral.